Molecule: ribosomal RNA, 121 nt
Filed under: Lepisosteus oculatus (spotted gar)
Lineage: Eukaryota; Metazoa; Chordata; Actinopteri; Semionotiformes; Lepisosteidae
Source: RNAcentral
UCCAGCAGCCAUAUCACUCUCCAACUCACAUCUGGCAGCCCCACUGGAGCUCAGCAGGUGUGAGCCUGGUCAGUACCUGGAUGGGAGACCUCCUGGGAAAAACUAAAUGUUGCUGCUGGAA